RNAcentral lists this unclassified non-coding RNA (2208 nucleotides) under Leishmania donovani. RNAcentral's name for it is "gene:LdHU3.35.1200(CDS-product:aldose_1-epimerase _putative)". The record is from RNAcentral. Lineage: Eukaryota; Euglenozoa; Kinetoplastea; Trypanosomatida; Trypanosomatidae.
UUUGCUCUCUCGUACGCACUCCCACUGCCUUCAUCGAAACGAACAAAACAAAAACGUUUGUUCCCCGCUCGUGCAUUCUUCACUCUGUCGGACUCUUCUGUUGCCGCUUCCUUCGUUUUUUUGUUGUUCUCUCGCUCUAGGUCGCCUUGUUGCGCCCGUUGCCUUUCUUUCUCCUCCCUCUAAACUGAAGUCGGGUCCACUCACGAAGUGCUCCUCUCUUUGCCUCCCGCCUCUCUUAUCUCCUUCACCUUUUCACUCGUCUUCCUCUUGAACAUGCAGUUCGGCAUCAGGGUAGAGCCCUAUGGCUACGACAAGCUCGUGUGGCUGGAGACAGACGUUCUCAAAGUGGGCCUCACCAACUAUGCCGCCUCCGUCGCCUCCAUCCAGGUGUACCACCCCGCCGAUAACAAGUGGAUCGAGGUCAACUGCGGCUACCCGAAGAACCCCGAGGAGGCUUACGCCGAUCCGGACUACAUGGGCGCCACUGUAGGCCGCUGCGCCGGUCGCGUCGCCGGAGGCGUGUUCACGCUUGACGGGGUCAAGUACUACACGCAGAAGAACCGCGGCGAGAACACGUGCCACUGCGGCGACGACGCGUACCACAAGAAGCACUGGGGCAUGAAGCUAAUCGAGACGGCCAAUGUGAUCGGCGUCCGCUUCAACUACACCAGCCCGCACAUGGAGAGCGGCUUUCCCGGAGAGGUGAAGAACUACUGCACCUUCACCAUCGACCGCAGCAACCCCAACGCUCUCAAGACCAUCUACGACUCCUACAUCACCGACAACAGCCCGUGCGAUGCUUCUCCCAUCAACGUCUUCAGUCACACCUCCUUCAACCUGAACGGCAUCCCCGGCCAGCAGGACGGUGAGAAGAACUGGGUGCAGCCAGAGAGCGUGCGCAACCACUGGCUCCGCGUGCCAGCAAGCCGGGUGGCCGAGGCGGACCGCAUGGCCAUCCCGACUGGCGAGUUCCUGUCAGUUGAGGGCACCGGGCUCGACUUUCGGCAGGGACGCGUGAUUGGCGACUGCAUUGACGACGUGGCGCUGCUCGACCGCGACCCGUGCGGCUACGACCACCCCCUCGCCAUCGAUGGCUGGGAGAAGGGCAAGCUGAUGCUGCACGCCGAGGCGAAGAGCCCGGUCACGAACAUCUGCAUGAAGGUGUACUCGACCUUCCCGUGCAUGUGGGUGUACACGGCGAACAACAAGCCGCUGCCGGCGAGCGGCGGCCCGGGCCAGCGCUACGCGCGUUGGACUGGCCUGCUGGUCGGCCCCCAGAACUUCUCUGACGUUGCCAACUACUACCCCAAGUACCCGUCCUGCAUUGUGCGCCGUGGCGAGCGCCAGUACUCGGAGACGACGAUCAACGAGUUCACGAUUGAGCAUUAGGGGCCAACGUUGAGCCCAGAAAUGCAUAAGCUGGGUGGAGGAGAAGGGGUGCAGAUGGGGUUUGAUCGAAGAGGUGGCGAUGCUUCUUCACCGUGAAAGGGGGAUGAGAGUGUUGGAGGGGAGGAGGGGCCCACGAGAAGCAAGAUGUGGCUUCAAUGCGACUACAAGACAACUAUUGACUGUUUGCCUCGGUGAGCAGCGUCAGCUAGCGCACACGUAAUUUCGUCCUUGCCUUUUUUUUGUUGUGCUCUUGCUCUCGCUCCUUCUCCACUGCCUCUCCUUCUGUCUCCGUUGGGCCCUCCACGUCUCCCUUCACACACCAGCACACACGUGCACAUGCACACCAUUCCCUCCCCCACACGCAGCCAUCACUAGCGAUGCGACAACCGCGUUGUUGCACAUCCACUGAAGUGCUUUUUUCUUUGCGUUUUAUUUUUUUGUUUUUGUUAUCUCUGUAUUGCGCGUGUCUUUUCGUUACAUGUCUUUCAUGGUGUUUUUGCAGAAACCCCGUAUAUAUAUAUAUAUAUAUAUAUAUAUAUGUGUGUGUGUGUGUUCGUGUUGGAGCGCUCCUCCCGUGGACGGUAUGGUAGCGCCUCAUGCGUUUAUUUCCUUCGCGUUCGCCCUUUCUGCAUCUUUCUGCUCUCCUCCCCCCUCACAGUAUGCAUACACACGCACAUACAUAAAUACGCACUCCCUCACGCUGUUUCACUCAUUAUGUUUGCCCGUGUGUGUGUGUGUGUAUUUUCUAUUCUUUUUAGCUUUCUUUCCCGCCCCAUUCCUCCCUUUUUCACGGUUUUCCACACCUCUCGCUCCCCCCAG